ACGCAAACGGCCACACUGAGAGGAAUACACGGACUAUCUGCCCAGAAAUCUGAAGGCUGUGGGCUGAGAAAGAGAAAGAAGACGACCGAAUUACUUGAACAGAGUCUGGAAAGGGAUGAAGAAGUGAAGGAGUUCCGGCUGAUGAACCUGAAGACAGCUUUCUAGUGUCAAACUCAUCACGGAGUCUGCACAGGCAUCAUUAAGUGAAGGUCAAAGAUGAGCUUGCAGAGGAAAUGUCGCCACACAAGGGACCUGAUGUCUGAAUAAGAGAAGUGGAAGCGGAAGUGGGGGAAAUUGGGGGAAGAGAAGACGGAGGACGGGGUUGUGACUCCUAUUGCUAAUGGAUUUGGGUCAGAUGACGAGGAUAUGAUCUGCUCGGGACUGUGGGUGUUUGUGUGCGUGAGCUCACAUGUACGUGUGGAGUGCAUGGGCUUGUGAUGUCAUUAGCAGUCGAGCCAAAAUAUGAUGAUCUCGGGGUAUUAUCGGUAUCUGUUUAAGGUAUCCGGCUUUAUCAAAUACCUACUUGACACUGGAGUCACCACCAUGUUUUAUCAUUCUGUCUUUAGCUGACUCUCUCGCUUUCACACACACACUCACACACUCAAUAAUCCAUUCAGUCAUUGUUAAUCCAGCUGUGUGCUGGUACAGAGAUGUGCUGUACAUGGCUGACAACCAUGUCGCUGAGGUACUGAUGUCAUACCUGUCUGUGUUUUUUUUUUUUUCUUUAGUCACUGCUGUUGUGGCAAGUACAUCUGAAUCUAUCAAGGGGAAUAAACCUUGUA
Molecule: long non-coding RNA, 782 nt
Organism: Toxotes jaculatrix (banded archerfish)
Lineage: Eukaryota; Metazoa; Chordata; Actinopteri; Toxotidae
Exons: 3
Source: RefSeq, a predicted model, not a curated record